GCUCUUUUGGUGGAAAGUGGAAUUAUAGCUUUACCUACACUGGGAAUACAGGCUGUGUUAUCUGGCAAGCCAGGCUAGUGUUUGGAUUGUCAUUUCAUUAAUCUGUUUUAAAUUCUGAACAGGAAUAUUUGUAAAAAGGAAGGCAAAGGUACAGUCAUACAUCGUUUAACAACUGGGAUAUGUUCUGAGAAAGGCAUCAUGAGGAAUAUCAGCCCUGAGCUAACAUCUGCUGCCAAUCCUCCUCUUUUCACUGAAGAAGACUGGCCCUGAGCUAACAUCCAUGCCCAUCUUCCUCUACUUUAUACGUGGGAUGGCUACCACAGCAUGGUUUGCCAAGCGGUGCCAUGUCCGCACCUGGGAUCCGAACCCGCGAACCCUGGGCCACCUAAGCUGAAUGUGCGCACUUAACCGCUGCGCCACUGCACCGGCCUCUGGCAGGUUUAAUUAGUAGUUUUUCACAGCAACUUUGAGCUCUGCUGGUUUGGAGAUCUAGUUCCCAAAGGAGGAAUGCUUCUACCAAAGGCACAAAAAUAAGUCCAUUGAUUUACCAGAUCGCUUGCUCUGAGGGGAAGCCAGCCUCCAUGUUGUGAAGCUAUUUAAGUAGCCCUGUGGAGAAGAAAGGACACCCCCUGCCAAGAACCAGCAUCAUUUUACCUGCAAUGUGAGUGAGCCAUCUUGGAAUGCAUCCUCUAGCUCUCCCCAAGUCUGUGAUGACUGCAGCCCAGCCAACAUCUUGGUCGUGAUUUCAUGGGAGGCAGAACUGCUCAGUUAAGCCACUCCUGAAUUCCCAACCCACAGAAAC
Molecule: long non-coding RNA, 802 nt
Filed under: Equus asinus (donkey)
Lineage: Eukaryota; Metazoa; Chordata; Mammalia; Perissodactyla; Equidae
Description: lncRNA (ENSEASG00005036883.1)
Source: RNAcentral